UGGGGAAUCUUGCGCAAUGGGCGAAAGCCUGACGCAGCGACGCCGCGUGGGUGAUGAAGGCCCUCGGGUUGUAAAGCCCUGUGGGGAGGAACGAACCGCGCGGGAGUGAAUACCUCUCGCGUCUGACGGUACCUCCUUAGCAAGCAUCGGCUAACUCUGUGCCAGCAGCCGCGGUAAGACAGAGGAUGCGAACGUUGCUCGGAAUUACUGGGCGUAAAGCGCGCGCAGGUUGCCUUGUAAGUCGUGUGUGAAAUCCCUCUGCUCAACGGAGGAAGUGCACGGGAUACUGCAAGGCUGGAGUACAGAAGAGGACAGCGGAAUUCCCGGUGUAGAGGUGAAAUUCGUAGAUAUCGGGAGGAACACCAGUGGCGAAGGCGGCUGUCUGGGCUGAUACUGACACUGAGGCGCGAAAGCGUGGGAAGCAAACAGG
RNAcentral lists this ribosomal RNA (430 nucleotides) under uncultured Myxococcales bacterium. RNAcentral's name for it is "bacterial SSU rRNA". It matches the Rfam family "Bacterial small subunit ribosomal RNA", at positions 355 to 776 of the family's 1533-position model. Lineage: Bacteria; Pseudomonadati; Myxococcota; Myxococcia; Myxococcales. The record is from RNAcentral.